This 341-nucleotide unclassified non-coding RNA is filed under the name uncultured fungus. Its description in RNAcentral is "partial contains small subunit ribosomal RNA, internal transcribed spacer 1, and 5.8S ribosomal RNA". The stretch from base 1 to 73 matches the Rfam family "Eukaryotic small subunit ribosomal RNA", at positions 1759 to 1831 of the family's 1831-position model. Lineage: Eukaryota; Fungi. The record is from RNAcentral.
GCAAACUUGGUCAUUUAGAGGAAGUAAAAGUCGUAACAAGGUUUCCGUAGGUGAACCUGCGGAAGGAUCAUUAUUGAAACAUUGUAAAGAAGAGUUGAGCUGGUCCUUCAAGGGCAAGUGCUCGCUUUUCUUUCAAUCUUCAUCCACCUGUGCACUUUUUGUAGAGAGUCUGAAAAUCGAGCCUUUUAAGUAAGGUUCCAAGUGUUUGGGCUCUCUAUGUCUUUAUAUACACCAAUUGUAUGUUUCUGAAUGUCUUUUUAAGGGACUUUAUUGGACCUUUUAAAAACUAUACAACUUUCAGCAACGGAUCUCUUGGCUCUCGCAUCGAUGAAGAACGCAGC